Molecule: ribosomal RNA, 422 nt
Filed under: Verrucomicrobiota bacterium
Lineage: Bacteria; Pseudomonadati; Verrucomicrobiota
Description: Verrucomicrobia bacterium partial 16S ribosomal RNA
Rfam family: Bacterial small subunit ribosomal RNA
Source: RNAcentral
UGGGGAAUUUUGCACAAUGGGCGCAAGCCUGAUGCAGCGACGCCGCGUGAGGGAUGAAGGCCUUCGGGUUGUAAACCUUUUUCGCUCAUGGUCAAGCCGCAGCUUUGGGUUGUGGUGAGGGUAGUGGGUAAAGAAGCGCCGGCUAACUACGUGCCAGCAGCCGCGGUAAUACGUAGGUCCCGAGCGUUAUCCGGAAUUAUUGGGCGUAAAGAGCUUGUAGGCGGUUCGUCGCGUCUGGUGUGAAAGCCCAUCGCUUAACGGUGGGUUUGCGCCGGGUACGGGCGGGCUAGAGUGCAGUAGGGGAGACUGGAAUUCCCGGUGUAACGGUGGAAUGUGUAGAUAUCGGGAAGAACACCAAUGGCGAAGGCAGGUCUCUGGGCUGUUACUGACGCUGAGAAGCGAAAGCGUGGGGAGCGAACAGG